ACGGGUGAGUAACGCGUAAAGAACUUGCCCUGCAGUCUGGGAUAACAGACGGAAACGACUGAUAAAACCUGAUAUAAUCAAGCCCACGCAUGUGGUGCUUGAUGAAAAGAAAUGCUGCAGGAGAGCUUUGCGUCCUAUUAGCUUGUUGGUGGGGUAAUAGCCCACCAAGGCAAUGAUAGGUAGCCGGCCUGAGAGGGUGACCGGCCACAAGGGGACUGAGAUACGGCCCUUACUCCUACGGGAGGCAGCAGUGGGGAAUAUUGGACCAUGGGGGCAACCCUGAUCCAGCAAUUCUGUGUGCACGAAGAAGGUUUUCGGAUUGUAAAGUGCUUUCAGCAGGGAAGAAGAAAAUGACUGUACCUGCAGAAGAAGCGACGGCUAAAUACGUGCCAGCAGCCGCGGUAAUACGUAUGUCGCAAGCGUUAUCCGGAAUUAUUGGGCAUAAAGGGCAUCUAGGCGGCCAGAUAAGUCUGGGGUGAAAACUUGCGGCUCAACCGCAAGCCUGCCCUGGAAACUAUAUGGCUAGAGUACUGGAGAGGUGGACGGAACUGCACGAGUAGAGGUGAAAUUCGUAGAUAUGUGCAGGAAUGCCGAUGAUGAAGAUAGUUCACUGGACGGUAACUGACGCUGAAGUGCGAAAGCUAGGGGAGCAAACAGGAUUAGAUACCCUGGUAGUCCU
RNAcentral lists this ribosomal RNA (679 nucleotides) under uncultured bacterium. RNAcentral describes it as "bacterial SSU rRNA". It matches the Rfam family "Bacterial small subunit ribosomal RNA", at positions 102 to 797 of the family's 1533-position model. The record is from RNAcentral.